This 316-nucleotide ribosomal RNA is filed under the name uncultured Glomus. RNAcentral's name for it is "eukaryotic LSU rRNA". The stretch from base 1 to 52 matches the Rfam family "5.8S ribosomal RNA", at positions 103 to 154 of the family's 154-position model. The record is from RNAcentral. Lineage: Eukaryota; Fungi; Glomeromycota; Glomeromycetes; Glomerales; Glomeraceae.
AACGCAAAUUGCACUCCCUGGUAUUCCGGGGAGUAUGCCUGUUUGAGGGUCGUUAGAAUAAAAAUCGAGGCGUCGCUCUUUUUUUAAGGGUGAUCGCGUCGGAAUUGAGCCGUCUUUCAAAUGUUAAUUCAUGUCAAAGUGGCUUAAAAUUCAUCCAUCCGGUACGAUUUAAGCGUAUUUAAGAUCAAUUUUGUUCAAGAACGCGCGAUGACGUACCAUCUCAUGUAGUACGUUUGACUUGGCGUCGUCAGGAUCAUUCGUAUACGAUACUCAAACUUUUGACCUCAAAUCAGGUAAGAAUACCCGCUGAACUUAA